Molecule: microRNA precursor, 97 nt
Filed under: Papio anubis (olive baboon)
Lineage: Eukaryota; Metazoa; Chordata; Mammalia; Primates; Cercopithecidae
Description: mir-544 microRNA precursor family
Rfam family: mir-544 microRNA precursor family
Source: Rfam by way of RNAcentral
AUCACCUGGGGAUCUUGUUAAAACGCAGGCUCUGAUUCAGGCCGUCUGGAUGGGGCCUGAGAGUCCACAUUUCUAACAAGUUCCCCGGUGAUGUUGU